Molecule: long non-coding RNA, 3021 nt
Filed under: Zea mays
Lineage: Eukaryota; Viridiplantae; Streptophyta; Magnoliopsida; Poales; Poaceae
Description: long non-coding RNA (ZMAY_LNC000986)
Source: RNAcentral
UGAUUUUAUCCAUAGCUCAUUAGGUAUGGAACAAAUCCAUAAAAAUAUUGCACAAGUUUACAUUAGAAUCUAUGAAUCAAAAAAUAACUAGCUUUGAUAAACACAUGUAUUAGUUGAUAGAUUUAAUCCCACCAUAGAAUUAGGUGUGAGGUAUGAAUUCACUCAAUUUAUACUCAAAUUAAAUCUAUAGUGUGAUUUAUCUCAUAUAACCGAAUAAGGUCUAAGUAUGCGUGUCGUGGAUCGUCUCCUAAUCACCUUAGUUCGCGGCCAGCUAGCUGCUUCCCCGCGUUAAUCUUGUAUCGUGCGAUGUUUUAUUGGUGGAGGAAGGCGGGAAUUGUUGGGCCGGGGCGGCGUGAGAGACUUCAACGGCGGUGGAGAUGACAUCGGCGCCUGGAUAUUCUGCUGCUCCUUCAUCCACCUCGCCAUCAACUCCAGUUGCAGAUCGGCGUCUCGGCUUUGCCUCCGCUCGCACUUGUUGCCGGCCCGGCAGUUCUUGCGCUAACCUGGGUGCCUCCGCGGCUCCGCCGACCCCGCCGCCAAUCACCGCAGCAGCUCGAGCGAGGGCACGUGAUGCAAGUGCCUAGGCGUAGCAUCUGAUGUUUCACAGACUUGAAGCGCACGAGCACAGGAACUCCCUUCAUCAGUUUCUUGGUGGAUGCUGGAAUCCCUUCAUCAAUUGCUGGAGUUGUUGCCUGGAGUUGUGAACUGUUUACCUAGUGUAUCAGAAACUUGUGUCUCAGAUUAGCCUUGUUUUUUAUUCCUUAGUUUGCAUCAAAAGGUGUUUUUAUUCUUCUGUUUUCAUUUGAGUCUUCCGUAAAAUGAUGUCCAAUAUUGUAAGUGCCCAGGCGUACCAUCUAGCUAUUCAUGCGUCCAAUAUUUUCAGUAAAAAUCAUGUCACCUGUUUAACGUGGGCAAGCCCUUGCGUCAAGUAGAGAAACAGGGCUGAUGCAAAAUGGCCGAUUCAUGCCUUGGGCUUUUUUUGCUGGCCCGAUUUUCAUUUGAAUCUUCUAAUUCAGGAACUGCUGGAGUAAACAGGAUAUUCUAUCCCGAAUAAAUUUUAGUCUGCCUCUAAAAAUCAGUUUUUGCGGAAAUUUUUUAGUAUCCUCUUGGAGAUGAUCUAAGCCUAUCAUUAUGUCCAUGCUAAACAAGAUGGCCACGAAAAAUGUUAUAAUCUGCUGUCUUAUUUUAGCGCUCGUGUUGUAGUCAGAUCAAACAUCUGUUGCUGGUUCGUAUUAUCUUCCUUCUCUGUUUGCUUAUUAGUUCAGUGUGAACAUACAACAAGUAGAGAUUUACAAAUAUCUAUAGUAGUACAUGCAUCUAUGUGUUUUACAGUUAUUCAUCUGCUAGCUUGUAUAAUUUCCUUUUUAUUUGAUUUGAAAAAAAGUACCAUUCAACUCUCUUUUCUUCUUCCUUUGACAAAUUAACUCGUAAUGAUACCUACUAGUCAAUGGCGUGCGCCAGCGCACGCGUGGAAAUUAAAUACUUAACAUUAAUGUAUAGUCAUACAGAUACUAUAUUACACAUACAUAUAUAGAGUGAUAUGGAUGAUCAUGAUCAUUACAAAAUAUACAUGGUCAUUACAUAAUAGGUGCGUUACAAAUAGUGCAUUUUUGGUAGUUUAGUAAUGUUGAUGUGAACUGUAGAGUAUUCCUUCUGAAACAUGGGAAAGCACUUAAACCUUAUGGUGUAUACCUUCUAGCGCGGCAAUAUGUUCAUCAGAGAAAUAACCAUAUUGCAUAGGAAUCCUAAUGUUACGUGGAGAGCGUGCACAUAAAAGAGCAGUGGUUUCUUGUGUUUCCUUUUGCCAAAAAAAUGUUUAUUCCUUAAUAGUAUAAAAAGGGGAGCUUGCAAACAAAUAAUGAGAAGACAAAAAACAAACAGCAAUGAAGUAGCAUGCAUGAACCUAUAUAAAUCACUACCAACAUAGAUAGAUAGGCAUUACCUCUAAGAACCAAUCGAUGUUGAUUUAGCACUCGCUUACGAUAUUGUCAUGCUAACUUUGUAUUUCUAUGUGAACCCACGAUAUAUAUUGUUAAUCCAAGGUCAACAUUAGGCGUCAGUAAUAUCAACGUGGAGCUAGAUGUCCCUUGCAAUGGUAUUUAUAUAUGAUCCUAGUUGGUUAUGCCCACUACAUCUGUGAAUAUAUCAAAAAGGAUCAUCUCCUGCAGAAGACCAAGAUAAGAAAUGUUAGCAAGAACUCUUACUUUUUUAGGAAAAUAUUGCACCCCUAAAAUCAUCUUUUUAGUGGAUAAUGAAUCUCCCAUCGUUUAUGAAAACAUAACACCCCAAACUCUUUUUUUUAGAAAUCAAUCGAGGUGCAUAUCUUUUAUGUACCAUUAGAAGUGUACGAAUGUGUGGUUAAAGGUGGGGAAGUAGCAAAAGGAUGCGGCAGUUAUACAAUAAAUGUUCUUAGGUUGUGCAACAUUUUUUUGCACAACGCCAUCAGCUAUGCCAAUCAGGUAAUUACACAUCUAUAUUGCGAGCUUGCCCAAAGCAGAGCAGCCCCUGAGUUUGAAUUGAGUUGUCUUUGUAAAUCGAAGUAAUUGUUUUUCUUCCUUUUUACCUUGGCUGAGCCAGCCGAGACCUUGGCCAGGUGCGGUCUAGCAAGUCUUUUUUUGGGCACAUUUAGGGGUUUCAAUGUAGUUUAAUAGAGGAGAUAAAAAGGCACGUAUGACUUCCGGUGUAGGCGGAGGUAAAAAAGGGACCCAAAAGCAUGUGUGCUAAGUGUAGGUGGAGGUCGUAUCGCAGAGAUUCAAAACCAAAGGCAAUGUCGGCAUGGUGGAAAAGCAAUCAGAGUUUAGUUUGAGAUUCUUUUUACCUCGAGGAAACGUGGGAUGGAUGGAGGCGGAUGCAGCAGCACUAUUAUUGUCCAGGAAACGACAUCCGCGAGGGCUCGAUGGAGGCGCACGCAGCAGCGCCGUCGCUGCCGCCGCUGGCAGCGUGGCCUCCGUAGUAAGAACUGGAGGCACACCGAGAGGCUUCUAGGCACAUCCGCACAUCCGGUUUGUUUUCCUUUUUUUU